This is a regulatory RNA element of 55 nucleotides. It matches the Rfam family "COG3860 RNA". The record is from Rfam.
GGGUCCGCAGUUCACCCAGGCGUCACCGAUCCCGCGAGGGAAGCUAAACCUGCUC